RNAcentral lists this ribosomal RNA (472 nucleotides) under uncultured prokaryote. RNAcentral describes it as "bacterial SSU rRNA". It matches the Rfam family "Bacterial small subunit ribosomal RNA", at positions 366 to 810 of the family's 1533-position model. The record is from RNAcentral.
GGGCUCGAAAGCAACUUGCCUGCUCUGUAAGUGUGGUACCCUCUUACGUCUCAUUAGGUAUCAAGGCCUAUCGGGCUCGUAAAGCUCUGUCAGAGGGGAAGAACCUCCCAUCGGUUAAUAUCCGGUGGGCCUGACGGUACCCUCAAAGGAAGCACCGGCUAACUCCGUGCCAGCAGCCGCGGUAAUACGGAGGGUGCAAGCGUUGUUCGGAAUUAUUGGGCGUAAAGCGCGUGUAGGCGGCUGUUUAAGUCUGAUGUGAAAGCCCUGGGCUCAACCCGGGAAGUGCAUUGGAAACUGGAUAGCUUGAGUACGGGAGAGGGUAGUGGAAUUCCGAGUGUAGGGGUGAAAUCCGUAGAUAUUCGGAGGAACACCGGUGGCGAAGGCGGCUACCUGGACCGAUACUGACGCUGAGACGCGAAAGCGUGGGGAGCAAACAGGAUUAGAUACCCUGGUAGUCCACGCCGUAAACGAU